CAUUUAUGCAGGACCUCUUGGUCCUAAAUCUUGCAAGUUGAUAGAGUAUUUUGAGGCAAUUGAAGGAGUACCCAGAAUAAGACCUGGAUAUAAUCCAGCUACAUGGAUGUUGGAGGUUACUUCGUCAGUAGAAGAAACUCGACUUGGUGUUGAUUUUGCAGAAAUUUACCAAAGAUCAAACCUUUUUCAAUAUAAUCAAGUUUUGGUUGAAAGGCUAAGCAGGUCACGUGGCGAUUCAAAAGAUUUGAAUUUCCCUGCUAAGUAUUGUCAGUCCUAUUUCAGUCAGUUCCUAGCUUGCCUUUGGAAGCAAAAUCUCUCAUAUUGGCGCAAUCCACAAUAUACUGCUGUUCGCUUCUUCUAUACGCUCAUCAUAUCUUUGAUGCUUGGGACAAUUUGUUGGAGAUUCGGAUCAAAAAG
RNAcentral lists this unclassified non-coding RNA (417 nucleotides) under Hevea brasiliensis (rubber tree). Lineage: Eukaryota; Viridiplantae; Streptophyta; Magnoliopsida; Malpighiales; Euphorbiaceae. The record is from RNAcentral.